Molecule: long non-coding RNA, 1060 nt
Organism: Oncorhynchus tshawytscha (Chinook salmon)
Lineage: Eukaryota; Metazoa; Chordata; Actinopteri; Salmoniformes; Salmonidae
Exons: 3
Source: RefSeq, a predicted model, not a curated record
CCUCCUCUCUCCCUCCCUCCCUGGUGGUGUCCAUAACUUCAGAACCCCUCCUCCCUCCCUCCCUGGUGGUGUCAUAACUUCAGAACCCCUCUCUUUCUCCUUCCCCCUCUCUAUGCUUCCAUGUUGUCUGUACCAUUGUCAUUGGAAAAAUAAACCAGUCUUGUAAAAAUCCUUAUUUUCUGUGUUGUUGUUUCACAGACCUUAAUCUCACAUUAACAUUACUUUAUUUGUCCAAUUGUACAGGUACAAGGUCCAACGGAAAUGUGACUUGCACUUUAUCCCAACUCCUCCGAAAGACAAAAAGAUCUGCCAAGCAGGCUAGACGGGUGACAGUUGUCUCCACUGAGCUGCUCCAGGCCUGGAGAGCCACAAUGGAAUUUCCAGAGGCCUGUGGACCUGAAGCAGUGUGAUGUGGUCCAGAUCUUACACCCCUUUUCGCUCAACUACAGCCCUGACAGCUGCAGUUGUCUGCCCUGCACCUGCAGAGUGGCAUCAACAGGUAUCCUUGUUUCUCAGUCAGAACACUGGAAUGUGAGAUGGGAUCUACACCUCCAUUAAAAUGAUAGAAUUCCUCAUUUCGUUUAAUGUUUUUCAAUUUGAGCUUAUACUUUCUCCUUCUCAACAUCUAACGCGAGGGGGACGGUGUGGCUUCGUGACGAUGAUCACAAGGGUCGUUGCUCACCUGUUUGACGGCUCCAACGCAGUUACACCUCCGACUCCGACAAAACAUCAGCUAUGCGGGUGUCGGAUAUUACCUGUUAAGACUUGAUCUGAUUGAAUCUUACAGUCAUUCACGCUGUUUAGUUAUAUUAUCAUUGUCAGUUAAUACAAUUGUGCCUCUCUUUUAGAUCUGCCACCCACCCUGCCAGCAGUCCUCUGCUGUGGUAUUUCAUUUCCCGGCAAGGUCUUUGGUUUAUUGGAUAUUUCUCUGAUUGAAAUGUGUGACCAAAAGGAAGUUGGCAGACCUGCAACCCUCUGGGAUUGUGUGCAGGUUUUGUCAUCUGAAGCUGGGCCCCAACAGCACUCACAUACAGUUGAAGUCAGAAGUUUACAUACACCU